This 427-nucleotide ribosomal RNA is filed under the name uncultured bacterium. RNAcentral describes it as "partial 16S ribosomal RNA". It matches the Rfam family "Bacterial small subunit ribosomal RNA", at positions 355 to 774 of the family's 1533-position model. The record is from RNAcentral.
UGGGGAAUAUUGCACAAUGGGCGCAAGCCUGAUGCAGCCAUGCCGCGUGUAUGAAGAAGGCCUUCGGGUUGUAAAGUACUUUCAGCGGGGAGGAAGGCGAUAAGGUUAAUAACCUUGUCGAUUGACGUUACCCGCAGAAGAAGCACCGGCUAACUCCGUGCCAGCAGCCGCGGUAAUACGGAGGGUGCAAGCGUUAAUCGGAAUUACUGGGCGUAAAGCGCACGCAGGCGGUCUGUCAAGUCGGAUGUAAAAUCCCCGGGCUCAACCUGGGAACUGCAUUCGAAACUGGCAGGCUAGAGUCUUGUAGAGGGGGGUAGAAUUCCAGGUGUAGCGGUGAAAUGCGUAGAGAUCUGGAGGAAUACCGGUGGCGAAGGCGGCCCCCUGGACAAAGACUGACGCUCAGGUGCGAAAGCGUGGGGAGCAAACA